AGUGAACGCUGGCGGUAGGCCUAACACAUGCAAGUCGAACGGCAGCACAGGAGAGCUUGCUCUCUGGGUGGCGAGUGGCGGACGGGUGAGGAAUACAUCGGAAUCUACUCUGUCGUGGGGGAUAACGUAGGGAAACUUACGCUAAUACCGCAUACGACCUACGGGUGAAAGCAGGGGACCUUCGGGCCUUGCGCGAUUGAAUGAGCCGAUGUCGGAUUAGCUAGUUGGCGGGGUAAAGGCCCACCAAGGCGACGAUCCGUAGCUGGUCUGAGAGGUUGAUCAGCCACACUGGAACUGAGACACGGUCCAGACUCCUACGGGAGGCAGCAGUGGGGAAUAUUGGACAAUGGGCGCAAGCCUGAUCCAGCCAUACCGCGUGGGUGAAGAAGGCCUUCGGGUUGUAAAGCCCUUUUGUUGGGAAAGAAAUCCAGCUGGCUAAUACCCGGUUGGGAUGACGGUACCCAAAGAAUAAGCACCGGCUAACUUCGUGCAGCAGCCGCGGUAA
Molecule: ribosomal RNA, 505 nt
Filed under: uncultured bacterium
Lineage: Bacteria
Description: partial 16S ribosomal RNA
Rfam family: Bacterial small subunit ribosomal RNA
Source: RNAcentral